UACGUAGGGUGCAAGCGUUGUCCGGAAUUAUUGGGCGUAAAGAGCUCGUAGGCGGUUUGUUGCGUCGGCUGUGAAAUCCCGAGGCUCAACCUCGGGUCUGCAGUCGAUACGAGCAAACUAGAGUGUUGCAGGGGAGACUGGAAUUCCCGGUGUAGCGGUGAAAUGCGCAGAUAUCUGGAGGAACACCGGUGGCGAAGGCGGCAUUCUGGACUGUAACUGACACUGAGGAACGAAAGCCAGGGGAGCAAACGGG
RNAcentral lists this ribosomal RNA (253 nucleotides) under uncultured bacterium. Its description in RNAcentral is "partial 16S ribosomal RNA". It matches the Rfam family "Bacterial small subunit ribosomal RNA", at positions 524 to 776 of the family's 1533-position model. The record is from RNAcentral.